This 485-nucleotide ribosomal RNA is filed under the name uncultured bacterium. RNAcentral describes it as "partial 16S ribosomal RNA". It matches the Rfam family "Bacterial small subunit ribosomal RNA", at positions 28 to 507 of the family's 1533-position model. The record is from RNAcentral.
GAUGAACGCUAGCGACAGGCUUAACACAUGCAAGUCGAGGGGCAGCACAGGUAGCAAUACCGGGUGGCGACCGGCGCACGGGUGAGUAACGCGUACGCAACUUACCUAUCAGAGGGGGAUAACCCGGCGAAAGUCGGACUAAUACCGCAUGAAGCAGGGGUCCCGCAUGGGGAUAUUUGCUAAAGAUUCAUCGCUGAUAGAUAGGCAUGCGUUCCAUUAGGCAGUUGGCGGGGUAACGGCCCACCAAACCGACGAUGGAUAGGGGUUCUGAGAGGAAGGUCCCCCACAUUGGUACUGAGACACGGACCAAGCUCCUACGGGAGGCAGCAGUGAGGAAUAUUGGUCAAUGGCCGAGAGGCUGAACCUGCCAAGUCGCGUGAGGGAUGAAGGUUCUAUGGAUCGUAAACCUCUUUUAUAAGGGAAUAAAGUGCGGGACGUGUCCCGUUUUGUAUGUACCUUAUGAAUAAGAAUCGGCUAACUCCGUG